RNAcentral lists this unclassified non-coding RNA (1334 nucleotides) under Hevea brasiliensis (rubber tree). Lineage: Eukaryota; Viridiplantae; Streptophyta; Magnoliopsida; Malpighiales; Euphorbiaceae. The record is from RNAcentral.
AAGGUUAAAAAGCAGGCAUCCAGAUUCUGCAGCGUUUGACCCACGGGGAUCCUGUAUAUGGGAUACCAUGCAACAGCAAUCCAACUUGAGGGUGACAGAUCACAGCUCCUAUAUGUCUUGAGUUCUGGAAACUGAGUCGCAAGAUCUGAGAUCUUGUCAGCCAAUGGUUCACGAGUAAAUGGUGAAGCAUGCUCCAUGUACUCAAAAAUAAGCUGACCUGUGGGAUUGGAAAUUUCACAUUCAUCACUUGAUGAACCUCUGACAGGUUUAUUUCUCAGUGAGAGUCUAUUCAAACUCUGAAUAUUUGCAUCUGUAAUAUUUUGCUGAAUCCAAGAGCCCCAAGCACCAUUGUUUACUCCCCUCUCUGCUCUGUAGUCACUGCUACCAUCACUACUGGUUUCCCUGGAUGACUCAGCAUCACUUUCCUCACCAGGCCUCCUUAGCCUUGGACAGGGUCUUGAUGGGUCUAUAUACAGCUGAAUGCCAGACAAGGAAGGAACAUAGUACUGCAUAACAGUUUCGCUUCCAUUUAACAGAAGGGGAACACCCGCACCAUACGCACUCCACUCUUUAAAAGAUUCCCAUAGAUCACCCAGCAUAUAGUAUGGGUAAUACUCUGCUUCACGAUUUCUCCAUCCCAUAAUGCUUGUCUUUGGCAAAUAUUGGGCAGGAACCACAGGAGUAGUGUACUCCAAGAACCGAUCUAAAUUUGUUGAAUUACCCUCGCCCCCUACCCGUGCCGAAGCCGAACAAUUUGACAUCGAUGAGGACGAAGAUAACGAAACACAUUGAUCUGACUCCGCUCUCUUCUCCAUAGCCGCCGUACAAUUCUUGGAAAUCAACGACCCCUGCUUCUGCCGCUGGUCCUGCUUUUGUUGCUGCUGCUGCUGCUGCUGCUGCUGUUGUUGUAGCUGGUGGGGCAUCGCCGGAGAAACAUAGAAUCGGUUCUCGCCGCGGGCUCGGGCAAUCGAAACCCCACCGCACCCCGACAUUGUACGAAACCUACGAAGAAUCCGACAAAAACAAUGUCGCUGAGGAAGAAAUUGGAUGCGAGGUUUUCAGUUGUUGUUGCGCUCAGGAGGGUUUUUAUUGAUUACAAAGAUGGAUUAGAAAUAUACAAAAUCUCUCUUUCUGUGAGGGUAUAUAUAUAUAGGGGGUGGCUGAAUAGGGCAAGAACGGAGAGUGCUAAAGUGAAAGGUUUAAGCGUGAGUAGUGUUUGAGCUUCCUUUGGAUUUUGUAGAGACGAAGCUGAGACUCUUUAGGCUCUGUGGGUGAGAAAUUGGGCCAAAAAGGGGACGAGAAGAAUCCAGAAUUUUUUUUCCUCUACGUGAAAU